CCUGACUGCUAUCGGAUUGAUACUAAGCCAUGCGAGUCAUUGUAGUAAUACAAGGCAGACGGCUCAGUAACGCGUAGUCAACCUAACCUAUGGACGGGAAUAACCUCGGGAAACUGAGAAUAAUGCCCGAUAGAACAUUAUGCCUGGAAUGGUUUAUGUUCCAAACGAUUUAUCGCCAUAGGAUGGGACUGCGGCCUAUCAGUUUGUUGGUGAGGUAAUGGCCCACCAAGACUAUUACAGGUACGGGCUCUGAGAGGAGUAGCCCGGAGAUGGGUACUGAGACACGGACCCAGGCCCUAUGGGGCGCAGCAGGCGAGAAAACUUUGCAAUGUGCGAAAGCACGACAAGGUUAAUCCGAGUGGUUUCUGCUAAAGGAACCUUUUGUCAGUCCUAAAAACACUAACGAAUAAGGGGUGGGCAAGUUCUGGUGUCAGCCGCCGCGGUAAAACCAGCACCUCAAGUGGUCAGGAUGAUUAUUGGGCCUAAAGCAUCCGUAGCCGGCUCUGUAAGUUUUCGGUUAAAUCUGUACGCUCAACGUACAGGCUGCCGGAAAUACUGCAGAGCUAGGGAGUGGGAGAGGUAGACGGUACUCGGUAGGAAGGGGUAAAAUCCUUUGAUCUAUUGAUGACCACCUGUGGCGAAGGCGGUCUACCAGAACACGUCCGACGGUGAGGGAUGAAAGCUGGGGGAGCAAACCGGAUUAGAUACCCGGGUAGUCCCAGCUGUAAACUAUGCAAACUCAGUGAUGCAUUGGCUUAUGGCCAAUGCAGUGCUGCAGGGAAGCCGUUAAGUUUGCCGCCUGGGAAGUACGUACGCAAGUAUGAAACUUAAAGGAAUUGGCGGGGGAGCACCACAAGGGGUGAAGCCUGCGGUUC
Molecule: ribosomal RNA, 875 nt
Filed under: uncultured Nitrososphaerota archaeon
Lineage: Archaea; Thermoproteati; Nitrososphaerota
Description: bacterial SSU rRNA
Rfam family: Archaeal small subunit ribosomal RNA
Source: RNAcentral